UGGGGAAUAUUGCACAAUGGGGGAAACCCUGAUGCAGCAACGCCGCGUGAGCGAUGAAGGCCUUCGGGUCAUAAAGCUCUGUCUUCGCUGAAGAAAUUUGACGGUAAGCGAGGAGGAAGCCACGGCUAACUACGUGCCAGCAGCCGCGGUAAUACGUAGGAGGCAAGCGUUGUCCGGAAUUAUUGGGCGUAAAGGAUGCGUAGGUGGUCUUUUAAGUGAGAUGUGAAAUCCCUGGGCUUAACCCAGGAACUGCAUUUCAAACUGGAAGACUAGAGUGCAGGAGAGGAAAGUGGAAUUCCUAGUGUAGCGGUGAAAUGCGUAGAGAUUAGGAGGAACACCAGUGGCGAAGGCGACUUUCUGGACUGUAACUGACACUGAGGCAUGAAAGCGUGGGGAGCAAACAGGAUUAGAUACCCUGGUAGUCCACGCCGUAAACGAUGAGUACUAGGUGUAGGGGUCGAACCGUCUGUGCCGCAGUUAACACAUUAAGUACUCCG
Molecule: ribosomal RNA, 497 nt
Filed under: uncultured Bacillota bacterium
Lineage: Bacteria; Bacillati; Bacillota
Description: bacterial SSU rRNA
Rfam family: Bacterial small subunit ribosomal RNA
Source: RNAcentral